Long non-coding RNA from Oncorhynchus tshawytscha (Chinook salmon), 1676 nucleotides. The record is from Ensembl. NCBI's taxonomy places the organism in Eukaryota, Metazoa, Chordata, Actinopteri, Salmoniformes, Salmonidae.
GUUGUUGUGGGAGCAGCUGUGGUUGUUGUGGGAACAGCUGUGGUUGUUGUGGGAACAGCUGUGGUUGUUGUGGGAACAGCUGUGGUUGUUGUUGGAGCUGCUGUGGUUGUUGUGGGAGCAGCUGUGGUUGUUGUGGGAGCAGCUGUGGUUGUUGUGGGAACAGCUGUGGUUGUUGUGGGAACAGCUCUGGUUGUUGUUGGAGCAGCUGUGGUUUUUGAAGUAGCGACUGUGGUUGUUGUGGGAGAUUCUGUGGUUGUUGUGGGAACAGCUGUGGUUGUUGUGGGAUCAACUGUGGUUGUUGUGGGAGCAGCUGUGGUUGUUGUGGGAGCAGCUGUGGUUGUUGUGGGAGAUUCUGUGGUUGUUGUGGGAGCAGCUGUGGUUGAUGUGGGAGCAGUAGUGGUUGUUGUUGGAGUAUCUGUGGUUGUUGUAGCAGCUAUGGUUGUUGUGGGAACAGCUGUGGUUGUUGUUGGAGCAGCUGUGGUUGUUGUGGGAGCAGCUGAGGUUGUUGUUGGAGCAGCUGGUGUUGUUGUGGAAGCAGCUGUGGUUGUUGUGGGAGCAGCUGUGGUUGUUGUGGGAAAAUCUCUGGUUGUUGUUGGAGCAGCUGUGGUUGUUGUGGGAAUAGCUGCGGUUGUAGUGAGAGCAGCUGUGGUUGUUGUGGGAGCAGCUGUGGUUGUUUUGAAUGUAUCUGUGUUUGUUGUUGGAGCAGUUGUGGUUGUUGUUGGAAGAGUUGUGGUUGUGGUUGGUACAUCUGGGGUUGUUGUCGGAGUAGCCGUGGUUGUUGUGGGAACAGCUGUGGUUGUUUUUGAAGUAUCUGUGGUUGUUGUUGCCCCAAUUGUAGUUGUCGUUGGAGCUUCUAUGGUUGCUGUGGGAGAAGCUAUGGGGUUGUGGGGAUGGCUGUGGUUGUUGUGGGUGCACCUUUGGUUGUUGUGGGUGCACCUGUGGUUGUUGUGGGUGCAGCUGUGGUUGUUGUGGGAAUAGUUGUGGUUGUUGUUGGAUAUGCUGUUGUUGUUGUGGGUGCAUCUGUGGUUUUUGUGGUAGAUGAUGUGGUUUUUGUUGGAGCAGCUGUGGUUGCUGUAGGAGCAGCUGUGGUUGUUGUGGGAGCAGCUGUGGUUGUUGUGGGAUAGGCUGUGGUUGUUGUUGGAGUAGCUGUGGUUGUUGUGGGAGCAGCUGUGGUUGUUGUGAGAGCAGCUGUGGUUGUUGUGGGAGCAGCUGUGGUUGUUGUGGGAGAUUCUGUGAUUGUUGUGGGAGCAGCUGAGGUUGUUGUUGGAGCAGCUGGGGUUUUUGAAGUAGCGACUGUGGUUGUUGUGGGAGAUUCUGUGGUUGUUGUUGGAGCAGCUAUGGUUGUUGUGGGAGCAGCUGGGGAUUUUGUUGGAGCCGCUGUGUUUGUUGUGGGUGAGGCUGCGGUUGUUGGGAGAGCAGCUGUCGUUGAUAUGGGAGCAGCUGUGAUUGUCGUUUGAGCAGCUGUGGUUGUUGUUGGAACAUCUGGAGUUUUUGUCAGAGCAGGUGGCGAUGUUGUUGGAACAGCUGUGGUUGUUGUGGGAGCAGCUGUGGUUGUUGUGAGAGUAGCUGUUGUUGUUUGUGGAACUGCUGUGGUUGAUGUAGGAGCAGCUGUGGUUGUUGUAUCCACAGCUGAAGUUGGAGUUGUGGCUGCUGGGGGUGGUGUUGGUACAAUCACC